RNAcentral lists this long non-coding RNA (570 nucleotides) under Malus domestica (apple). RNAcentral describes it as "long non-coding RNA (MDOM_LNC012382)". Lineage: Eukaryota; Viridiplantae; Streptophyta; Magnoliopsida; Rosales; Rosaceae. The record is from RNAcentral.
UGUCGAGCUUUUCUUCCUUUGGUGUUGUCUUCCUUUUUCUAGAAGGCUUCUUGGUUUCUUCAAGUCUUUCUAAGGCAGACCGUUGUAGAGGAAAGCUAGCCGUGUUGCUUUGUUUCUUCGGUUUUGACAACCUUUCGAAAACAGAGCUUUGGGGUGUUGGCGUGUUAAGCCGUUUAAAGAUGGAAGUUCGAUCUUGACUACCAAUGCAGCCUACCAAAGACUGAUGUUUGAGGGCUAACAUUUUUUUAUUUGCUUGAAAUCGUCACCGGUGUAUUUGGUGUGAAACUAAGUCCAGCUUUGUUGUUGUCAACCCCGUAACCAUGCUCCUUCAACUUCUUUUGAGUCUUGUUGAGGUUAUAUUCUUCGUCGUUGACAGUGUUUACAUUCUUCUUUCCAAGAUUUGAAGAUGAGGCUAAAUCGUACCCAGACUUUGACAUGAGUUUGUAGGCGUUUAGGGCGAAACCUUAUUCAGUCCUCUUGGUUUGAAGAGAGCUUGGUUCCGCCCCCUUUGGUAGGGGUUUUAUGAAACCUUGUGUUGGUUUUGAAACUUUAGCGUUACCUAGCUGUGUC